RNAcentral lists this ribosomal RNA (448 nucleotides) under uncultured bacterium. RNAcentral describes it as "partial 16S ribosomal RNA". It matches the Rfam family "Bacterial small subunit ribosomal RNA", at positions 329 to 794 of the family's 1533-position model. The record is from RNAcentral.
GCCCAGACUCCUACGGGAGGCAGCAGUGGGGAAUAUUGCACAAUGGGGGGAACCCUGAUGCAGCGACGCCGCGUGGGUGAAGGAGCGUUUCGGCGCGUAAAGCCCUAUCAGCAGGGAAGAAAAUGACGGUACCUGACUAAGAAGCCCCGGCUAACUACGUGCCAGCAGCCGCGGUAAUACGUAGGGGGCAAGCGUUAUCCGGAAUUACUGGGUGUAAAGGGCGUGUAGCCGGGCUGACAAGUCAGAUGUGAAAUUCCGGGGCUCAACCCCGGACCUGCAUUUGAAACUGUUGGUCUUGAGUAUCGGAGAGGCAGGCGGAAUUCCUAGUGUAGCGGUGAAAUGCGUAGAUAUUAGGAGGAACACCAGUGGCGAAGGCGGCCUGCUGGACGACAACUGACGGUGGGGCGCGAAAGCGUGGGGAGCAAACAGGAUUAGAUACCCGAGUAAU